GGAGAAUGUUAUCACGGGAGACACACGGCGGGUGCUAACGUCCGUCGUGAAGAGGGAAACAACCCAGACCGCCAGCUAAGGUCCCAAAGUCAUGGUUAAGUGGGAAACGAUGUGGGAAGGCCCAGACAGCCAGGAUGUUGGCUUAGAAGCAGCCAUCAUUUAAAGAAAGCGUAAUAGCUCACUGGUCGAGUCGGCCUGCGCGGAAGAUGUAACGGGGCUAAACCAUGCACCGAAGCUGCGGCAGCGAACGUAUCACUUAAAGCGAUUCAGCGGGUUACGAUUGACGGAGCGAAGCGACGUCAAAGCGUAUACAAAGUCGAGUCGGUUUAAGGAUACGUUCGUUGGGUAGGGGAGCGUUCUGUAAGCCUGUGAAGGUGUGUCGUGAGGCAUGCUGGAGGUAUCAGAAGUGCGAAUGCUGACAUAAGUAACGAUAAAGCGGGUGAAAAGCCCGCUCGCCGGAAGACCAAGGGUUCCUGUCCAACGUUAAUCGGGGCAGGGUGAGUCGACCCCUAAGGCGAGGCCGAAAGGCGUAGUCGAUGGGAAACGGGUUAAUAUUCCCGUACUUGGUGUUACUGCGAAGGGGGGACGGAGAAGGCUAUGUUGGCCGGGCGACGGUUGUCCCGGUUUAAGCGUGUAGGUGUGUGUUCCAGGUAAAUCCGGUUCACUUUAACACUGAGGCGUGAUGACGAGGCACUACGGUGCUGAAGCAACAAAUGCCCUGCUUCCAGGAAAAGCCUCUAAGCAUCAGGUAACAUCAAAUCGUACCCCAAACCGACACAGGUGGUCAGGUAGAGAAUACCAAGGCGCUUGAGAGAACUCGGGUGAAGGAACUAGGCAAAAUGGUGCCGUAACUUCGGGAGAAGGCACGCUGACAUGUAGGUGAAGUGAUUUACUCAUGGAGCUGAAGUCAGUCGAAGAUACCAGCUGGCUGCAACUGUUUAUUAAAAACACAGCACUGUGCAAACACGAAAGUGGACGUAUACGGUGUGACGCCUGCCCGGUGCCGGAAGGUUAAUUGAUGGGGUCAGCGCAAGCGAAGCUCCUGAUCGAAGCCCCGGUAAACGGCGGCCGUAACUAUAACGGUCCUAA
RNAcentral lists this ribosomal RNA (1089 nucleotides) under Salmonella enterica subsp. enterica serovar Infantis. Its description in RNAcentral is "partial 23S ribosomal RNA". It matches the Rfam family "Bacterial large subunit ribosomal RNA", at positions 964 to 1954 of the family's 2925-position model. Lineage: Bacteria; Pseudomonadati; Pseudomonadota; Gammaproteobacteria; Enterobacterales; Enterobacteriaceae. The record is from RNAcentral.